CAGCCGCCGCGGGAAAACGUAGGUGGCAAGCGUUGUCCGGAAUUAUUGGGCGUAAAGGGCUCGCAGGCGGUUUCUUAAGUCUGAUGUGAAAGCCCCCGGCUCAACCGGGGAGGGUCAUUGGAAACUGGGAAACUUGAGUGCAGAAGAGGAGAGUGGAAUUCCACGUGUAGCGGUGAAAUGCGUAGAGAUGUGGAGGAACACCAGUGGCGAAGGCGACUCUCUGGUCUGUAACUGACGCUGAGGCGCGAAAGCGUGGGGAGCAAACAGGAUUAGAUACCCGCGUAGUCCCUGUCUCUUAUAC
Molecule: ribosomal RNA, 301 nt
Filed under: uncultured bacterium
Lineage: Bacteria
Description: partial 16S ribosomal RNA
Rfam family: Bacterial small subunit ribosomal RNA
Source: RNAcentral